GUAGGUGGCGAGCGUUGUCCGGAUUUACUGGGCGUAAAGAGCGCGUAGGCGGCUCGGUAGGUCCCCUGUGAAAUCUCCCGGCUUAACCGGGAGGGGUCAGGGGAAACUGCCGGGCUGGAGGGGAGAAGAGGAGGGUGGAAUUCCCGGUGUAGCGGUGGAAUGCGUAGAUAUCGGGAGGAACACCAGUGGCGAAGGCGGCCCUCUGGGCUCUACCUGACGCUGAGGCGCGAAAGCGUGGGGAGCAAACCGGAUUAGAUACCCGGGUAGUCCACGCCGUAAACGAUGGGCGCUAGGUGUGGGAGGUAUCGACCCCUCCCCGUGCCCGCAGUUAACGCGAUAAGCGCCCCCCCCGCCUGGGGGACUACGGCCGCAAGGCU
This 377-nucleotide ribosomal RNA is filed under the name uncultured organism. RNAcentral describes it as "partial 16S ribosomal RNA". It matches the Rfam family "Bacterial small subunit ribosomal RNA", at positions 527 to 895 of the family's 1533-position model. The record is from RNAcentral.